GCCAGCAGCCAUAUCACUCUGCAACUUACAACUGGCAACCCACUGAAGCUCAGCAGGUGUGAGCCUGGUCAGUACCUGGAUGGGAGACCUCCUGGGAGAAACUACGGUUGCUGCUGAAA
Molecule: ribosomal RNA, 119 nt
Filed under: Lepisosteus oculatus (spotted gar)
Lineage: Eukaryota; Metazoa; Chordata; Actinopteri; Semionotiformes; Lepisosteidae
Source: RNAcentral